Molecule: non-coding RNA, 25 nt
Filed under: Macaca fascicularis (crab-eating macaque)
Lineage: Eukaryota; Metazoa; Chordata; Mammalia; Primates; Cercopithecidae
Also listed under: 3 other names
Source: RNAcentral
CCUGCUUCUGGGUCGGGGUUUCGUA